GAUGAACGCUGGCGGCGUGCCUAACACAUGCAAGUCGAACGGAAAGGCCCUGCUUUUGUGGGGUGCUCGUUUGGCGAACGCGUGAGUAACACGUGUGUAUCCUGCCCUUGUCUUUCGGGUAACUUCACGAAACUGCGGCUAAUAUCGGAUAGGAGAUCCUGCUCCAUGGUGGGGGUUGGAAAGUUUCGGCGUUUGGGUAUGGACUCGCGGGUUAGUAGCUUGUUGGUCGGGUAGUGGCUUACCAAGGCUACCACGGGUAGCCGGCCUGAGAGAGUGAUCGGCCACCUUGGAGCGGAGACACGGUCCAGAGGACUACGAGAGGCAGCAGUAGGGUAUGUGAGGCAAUGGGCGGGAGCAUGACACAGUGAGCCCGAGUGUGAGACGAAGGCCUUCGGAGCGUAAUGCCGUGUUAUUGGGUAAGAACAGCUGUCGCCUGUGACGAAGCGUGAGUGACGGUAACGAAUAAAGAAGCACCGGCUAACUACGUG
Molecule: ribosomal RNA, 488 nt
Filed under: uncultured bacterium
Lineage: Bacteria
Description: partial 16S ribosomal RNA
Rfam family: Bacterial small subunit ribosomal RNA
Source: RNAcentral